AAUGAACGCUGGCGGCGCGCCUAAUACAUGCAAGUCGAGCGAGAAGACGUAGCAAUACGUUUGUAAAGCGGCGAACGGGUGAGGAAUACAUGGGUAACCUACCCUAGAGUGGGGAAUAACUAGCCGAAAGGUUAGCUAAUACCGCGUACGCUCCUUGGACUUCGGUUCAGGGAGGAAAGCGAUGCCGAGGGUAUCGCGCUCUUGGAUGGGCUCAUGUCCUAUCAGCUUGNGGUGAGGUAACGGCUCACCAAGGCUUCGACGGGUAGCUGGUCUGAGAGGACGAUCAGCCACACUGGCACUGCGACACGGGCCAGACUCCUACGGGAGGCAGCAGUAAGGAAUAUUGCGCAAUGGGCGAAAAGCCUGACGCAGCGACGCCGCGUGGGGGAGU
This 391-nucleotide ribosomal RNA is filed under the name uncultured bacterium. RNAcentral describes it as "bacterial SSU rRNA". It matches the Rfam family "Bacterial small subunit ribosomal RNA", at positions 29 to 410 of the family's 1533-position model. The record is from RNAcentral.